Molecule: ribosomal RNA, 670 nt
Filed under: uncultured dinoflagellate
Lineage: Eukaryota; Dinophyceae
Description: SSU rRNA
Rfam family: Eukaryotic small subunit ribosomal RNA
Source: RNAcentral
AUAAAUAUCAAUGCGGAGCCCAAUGGGUUUUGCAAUUGGAAUGAGAACAAUUUAAAUCCCUUACCGAGUAUCAAUUGGAGGGCAAGUCUGGUGCCAGCAGCCGCGGUAAUUCCAGCUCCAAUAGCGUAUAUUAAAGUUGUUGCGGUUAAAAAGCUCGUAGUUGGAGUUCUGCCAGGUGACUUUCGUCCGCCCAAGUGGUGUGUACAGGGAGUGCAUCUGGCCCUUUCAAGGGGAACGUGUCUGCACUUCAUUGUGUGGUGCGAGAUCCUUGACUUUUACUUUGAGGAAAUAAGAGUGUUCCAAGCAGGCUCUCGUCGUGCAUAGCUCAGCAUGGAAUAAUAGCAUUGGACUUCGUUUCUACGCUGUUGGUUGCAAGAAGCGAGGUAAUGAUGAAGAGGGAUAGUUGGGGGCAUUCGUAUUUAACUGUCAGAGGUGAAAUUCUUGGACUUGUUAAAGACGGACUACUGCGAAAGCAUCUGCCAUGGAUGUUUUCAUUGAUCAAGAACGAAAGUUAGGGGAUCGAAGACGAUCAGAUACCGUCCUAGUCUUAACUAUAAACCAUGCCGGCUAGAGAUCGGAGGUCGUUCGAUUUGUGACACCUUCAGCAUCUUGAGAGAAAUCAAAGCCUUUGGGUUCCGGGGGGAGUAUGGUCGCAAGGCUGAAAUCCAUA